This 253-nucleotide ribosomal RNA is filed under the name uncultured bacterium. RNAcentral describes it as "partial 16S ribosomal RNA". It matches the Rfam family "Bacterial small subunit ribosomal RNA", at positions 524 to 776 of the family's 1533-position model. The record is from RNAcentral.
UACGUAGGGGGCAAGCGUUGUCCGGAUUUAUUGGGCGUAAAGAGCGUGUAGGCGGCCAGACAGGUCCGUUGUGAAAACUCGAGGCUCAACCUCGAGAUGUCGAUGGAAACCGUCUGGCUAGAGUCCGGAAGAGGAGUGUGGAAUUCCUGGUGUAGCGGUGAAAUGCGCAGAUAUCAGGAAGAACACCUAUGGCGAAGGCAGCACUCUGGGACGGUACUGACGCUGAGACACGAAAGCGUGGGGAGCGAACAGG